UUCCACAACUUUGACUGAAUGUUUAUUAUAAUUAUUAAAAGAAAUAAACAGCAAACAAGAAAACAAUUGAAAAACCUCCAUAAAGUUCCUAUUAGCUUCAUUUUUCUUUUCUUUGCUUCAUUCCUUUAGCCAAUCCAGAGGCCAUGGUAACGAUGUCAAUUGCACUACUAGCUUUACCUAUAUUUCUAUAUAAACAAUAUCAUUUAAAAUAUACUUAGGAAAGUAUAUUGGAAUGUAAGUUGUUUUCAGGUACAUUGAUAGGAAAUUCAAUAUGUAUGGAAAUAACUUAGACGCAGUCUGAUCAAAUCAUUCCAUUCUAGCUUUAUUUAGAUCCGCUACAAGCUUUAGAUAAAAUACCAAAAGAUUUAUUUUAAAAGCACGUCUAUUUCAUAUCUUCGUUUAAUUAAUUCAACUUCAAUUCCCGAAUAAGUGAAAAUAAGUAAGUCGUCGAUCAUUCAUACACAAGUGAAAGAACUUAAUCUAAAAAUUAUUUUAUAAUAUAUUUAUUGGUUUGGUUUCUUGUUCUUUACUUUGAUUGGUUUUUGUUUGUUUAUAUGUCUUGUUGUAGAUAUUUAUUUCAGGAAAACUUACAGCUAAUUACAAAAAUAAUAGGAAUGAUAAUUGUGUUUACUAGCAAAAGGAAAAAAAAAUUAAAAGUACUUGUCAGAAAUCGGUCAAAUCUAAGCGGACCCACACGACAAGCAUCAGCAUAACCAAGUAAAUA
This is a long non-coding RNA of Melitaea cinxia (Glanville fritillary), 724 nucleotides long. RefSeq lists it as uncharacterized. The transcript has 4 exons. The record is from RefSeq and is a predicted model, not a curated record. Lineage: Eukaryota; Metazoa; Arthropoda; Insecta; Lepidoptera; Nymphalidae.